GUAAAAUACUUUAGGUGUAACUUUCAAAAAUGCCACGGUUUUCGCGAUUUUGUUAUUUGGGUUGGCCUACCUGGUAGCUGGUUGUGGACUUCGGCCCCGGACGGUGAAGUUUUGGGGUUUUCUGCCAUGUGUUCCUCAAAUCAAGUCACGCUGGCAUCAGAGAAAAUGGAGCUGACAACACUCUGGGAGCGGGUGUGGCCUGAUGAUGUCAUCUCUGAUACGCCACUGUCUGAUUGGCUGGAGUGGUUGGACUGGGACUCUGGGAAUUAUCUUAACCAAAGCAGGCAGACAGACCUGGCAGGCUGGAGGAGCUGGAUCCAGACUUGAUGGAGGAAGAGGAGAGGGAGGACCAAUCGUAGGCUGCCUCCGUCCUCCUCAUUGCCUCCUGGAUCAGACAGAUUUACUACAGGACAAGUUUACCUUGGCGAUGCGGAUACUGUUGAUCCAUUGUUGGAGGGUUCUGACAUCAUCACAACAGAGCCAUCUCACAUGUCUCCUUCCGCCCCAGUAAAUAGUUCUGCAGGUAUGACAGAAGUAGCAGGAGAGACAGGCAUCUCACCUGUGGGUUUUUGAACAGAGCAUACUUCUCGAUGCGUUCGGUGAACAUCAGGCGGUUCUGGCUGUCUCUGGUCCAGUUCAGCAGGUUCUCCACCAGGUUCUCGUGAUCCUCGAAAAUCCGCUCUGCACAGAGUGAAUUUAACUUAAUUAAAUUAAUUCAGUUAAUUUUACUUGGAACAUGCUGUAAAAUUAAUGUAAGGCAGUUUCAUCUAGUUCUGUGCUGCACACCAAUUCUACCCUACUAUGAGUAUUAACGUCACUGGCAGGACUCAAACUGAAGUAAUGAGCAUAUAGGUAACAGGUUGCUGUCAUAUUCAUGUGUGUUUCUGUGUCACUAAACCGUUUAUUUUUCAUCUGGAGAGUGUCAAGGAAUAAAAAUAGUCAAAUGUGAA
Micropterus salmoides (largemouth bass) is the source of this 950-nucleotide long non-coding RNA. RefSeq lists it as uncharacterized. The record is from RefSeq and is a predicted model, not a curated record. Lineage: Eukaryota; Metazoa; Chordata; Actinopteri; Centrarchiformes; Centrarchidae. The transcript is spliced from 6 exons.